AGAGUUGAUCAUGGCUCGAGGACGAACGCUGGCGGCGUGCCUAACACAUGCAAGUCGAACGGGGAUUAUAUUUGGAAGUUUCGGAUGGAAGGAUAUAAUUCUAGUGGCGAACGGGUGAGUAACACGUGAACAACCUGCCCUGAAGUGGGGGAUAACACUUGGAAACAAGUGCUAAUACCGCAUAAGACCACGACCCGGCAUCGGGAUGAGGUCAAAGAUUUAUCGCUUUAGGAGGGGUUCGCGUCCCAUUAGGUAGAUGGCGGGGUAACGGCCCACCAUGCCGACGAUGGGUAGCCGAGCUGAGAGGCUGAUCGGCCACACUGGAACUGAGACACGGUCCAGACUCCUACGGGAGGCAGCAGUGGGGAAUAUUGGGCAAUGGGCGCAAAGCCUGACCCAGCAACGCCGCGUGAGGGAAGAAGGUUUUCGGAUUGUAAACCUCUGUCGCAAGGGACGAAGAAGUGACGGUACCUUGUGAGGAAGCCCCGGCUAACUACGUGCCAGCAGCAGC
RNAcentral lists this ribosomal RNA (511 nucleotides) under uncultured bacterium. Its description in RNAcentral is "bacterial SSU rRNA". It matches the Rfam family "Bacterial small subunit ribosomal RNA", at positions 8 to 518 of the family's 1533-position model. The record is from RNAcentral.